GAUGAACGCUGGCGGCGUGCCUAAUACAUGCAAGUCGAGCGAAGCUUUCCUGGUGCUUGCACUAGAAAAACUUAGCGGCGAACGGGUGAGUCACACGUAAAGAACCUGCCUCAUAGACUGGGACAACUACUGGAAACGAUAGCCAAUACCGGAUAACAGCAUUAACUGCUUGGUUGAUGUUUAAUAGUUGGUUUUGCUAACAAUAUGAGAUGCCCUUGCGGUGCAUUAGCUAGUUGGUGGGGUAAAGGCCUACCAAGGCGACGAUGCAUAGCCGACCUGAGAGGGGGAGCGGCCACACUGGGACUGAGAGACGGCCCAGACUCCUACGGGAGGCAGCAGUAGGGAAUCUUCCGCAAUGGGCGAAGUCCUGACGGAGCAACGCCGCGUGAGUGAAGAAGGAAUUCGGUUCGUAAAGCUCUGUUGUUAGGGAGGAAUGUAUGUGUAGUAACUAUACACAGUAAAGGAGGGACCUAACCAGAUAGGCACGGCUAACUACGGU
Molecule: ribosomal RNA, 499 nt
Filed under: uncultured bacterium
Lineage: Bacteria
Description: partial 16S ribosomal RNA
Rfam family: Bacterial small subunit ribosomal RNA
Source: RNAcentral